CGCCGGACGACGACGGACGACGGACGACGGACGCAAAGUGAUGAGAAAAGUUCACUUGGCCCUGUGGGCCAGGUGAGCUAAAAAGGAAUAAUUUAGGAGGACAUAGACCUUAUCUACCUCUUUCGUCGAUUGUUGCACGAGAUCCGACAAUGUAAAUCAUGCAACAUGGUUAAAGGGAAGUAACCAGAAAACAACACACGCAAUGUCGUUAUUUUUCUUUUAGCAAAAAUGCAACCGAAAGGCUCUCAUUCAUUGGCAUAUUAAUUGAUGCUCUAUACUCUUUAUCAAAUGAAAAAGAAUCAGUUAAGAAACUCCGACUUAUCAGUACAAUAUGUAGAAAUGUUUCGAUAGUAAAAGAUUUUCGUAAAAGUCUCUUCUGUGAUGUCCGAGGCCAAAAUAAUUGAAAAUCCUAAAUUUAUAAAAAAAAAUAAAAUAAAAAAAAAUGAAGAGCUCAUAAACCAAAAAAGGGACAAAGUAUAGCUAAAGCCGUUUCAACCCUUCGCAAAGCUCUUGCACAGAAAACACAUUUGAUUUGUAUCCGCGGAUUGGAGAGCAAAACCAUAAGACAUUGCAAACACUCAAAAGAAAGGUCAACGAUGAUGAAAGACCCUACGACUGAAUCAGGUAUUUUAUUGCGAAUGCGGAUGACCAUUUUCUGUGCUAAAAAAAAUCAAAGACA
Molecule: long non-coding RNA, 679 nt
Filed under: Mytilus galloprovincialis (Mediterranean mussel)
Lineage: Eukaryota; Metazoa; Mollusca; Bivalvia; Mytilida; Mytilidae
Source: RNAcentral